This 799-nucleotide ribosomal RNA is filed under the name uncultured Sclerocystis. Its description in RNAcentral is "SSU rRNA". It matches the Rfam family "Eukaryotic small subunit ribosomal RNA", at positions 314 to 1114 of the family's 1831-position model. The record is from RNAcentral. Lineage: Eukaryota; Fungi; Glomeromycota; Glomeromycetes; Glomerales; Glomeraceae.
AUCAACUUUCGAUGGUAGGAUAGAGGCCUACCAUGGUGGUAACGGGUAACGGGGUGUUAGGGCACGACACCGGAGAGGGAGCCUGAGAAACGGCUACCACAUCCAAGGAUGGCAGCAGGCGCGCAAAUUACCCAAUCCCGACACGGGGAGGUAGUGACAAUAAAUAACAAUACGGGGUUCUUUCGGAUCUCGUAAUUGGAAUGAGUACAAUUUAAAUCUCUUAACGAGGAACAAUUGGAGGGCAAGUCUGGUGCCAGCAGCCGCGGUAAUUCCAGCUCCAAUAGCGUAUAUUAAAGUUGUUGCAGUUAAAAAGCUCGUAGUUGAAUUUCGGGGUCAGCAGGUUGGUCGUGCCACUGGUAUGCACUGGCCUUGCUGAUUCCUCCCUCUUGAUGAGCCGUAAUGUCAUUAAUUUGGUGUUGCGGGGAAUCAGGACUGUUACUUUGAAAAAAUUAGAGUGUUUAAAGCAAGCAAGCGCUUGAAUACGUUAGCAUGGAAUAAUGAAAUAGGACGUUUGAUCCUAUUUUGUUGGUUUCUAGGAUUGACGUAAUGAUUAAUAGGGAUAGUUGGGGGCAUUAGUAUUCAAUUGUCAGAGGUGAAAUUCUUGGAUUUAUUGAAGACUGACUACUGCGAAAGCAUUUGCCAAGGAUGUUUUCAUUAAUCAAGAACGAAAGUUAGGGGAUCGAAGACGAUCAGAUACCGUCGUAGUCUUAACCAUAAACUAUGCCGACUAGGGAUCGGAUGAUGUUAAUUUUUUAAUGACUCAUUCGGCGCCUUACGGGAAACCAAAGUGUUUGGGUUC